Molecule: long non-coding RNA, 992 nt
Organism: Zea mays
Lineage: Eukaryota; Viridiplantae; Streptophyta; Magnoliopsida; Poales; Poaceae
Exons: 3
Source: RefSeq, a predicted model, not a curated record
GCUGUACACUGACUUCGACCUGCUGACCGACUUCCCGGAGCCGACGCUGGACUUCCUCGCGGACAUCCCUGAGGAGAAGCUGCUGCUGCCGUUCCCCGCGGGGAGCCCCGAGGAGUGCCCGUUUGACACGGAGGUGGCGUUGCCGACGAGGUGGCAGAAGGUGGACGACUUCUUCCAGGACAUCACCGAGCUGUUCCAGAUCGACCCGCUGCCCGUCGUCCAGCCUGCCAUCGAGACUCGAGAUGUCUCGCUCUGUAACAGGACCCAGAGGAGGAGCACGCCAUUCCGGCUCCAUGCCCGUGGAGUCAGAGACCGAGAACAACAACCUCGAUAUGGAAAGCAAGUUGCCACUGCCUCCAUCGCAGUCGCAGCGACCACCACUAACUGCUUCUGUGAGAGGUAGUAGCAGCAACUAUGUUUCAACAGGAAACAAGAGAAGAGAAAGUGAAAGCUCUAUGGGUGUGCCAAUUGGUCAAUCGUCAUCUUCAGCACCAUAAGCUGAAAAUAAAGAUGCAAAUGAAUUGGUUGUCGCAGGCACAAGUAAUGCUUGUAAUAUGCUGUAGCUGUUGUUGAUAUAGCGAGCCUUGAUGACGAUGACGAGGACAUGCAAGAGGAGAUGACUGGAAUAGGAAAGAGACAAAAGUGGCACACAUCUAUUGUGUGGAAGUACUUUACCAAAGAAACUGUGAAAGUGGAGGUGAAUGACAAGAAGUAUGAGCAGUUGUGGUCCUACUGCAACUUUCCAAAAUGUAAGCAGAUAUAUAGAGCUAAGUCUAAUCAUGGAACAAAUGCAUUCCGCAACCAUCUAAGGUCACAUCACAAUAUUGUCAAAGGACAGCUAGAACUAAAGGCAGAAAAGUAUCAUGGAAAAGAUGACACCACUAUUCAGCCUUUUAGGUAUGAUCUAGAUGUUAGUCUUAGAAAAUUCUAUAUCGUAAUAGACUUGAUUCUGAGAUGGUGGAAGCUCUAAUAUGCACCAAGGAUUGGAUCAA